AGCUCCAGCAGCGUAUAUUAAAGUUGCUGCGUUUAAAAAGCUCGUAGUUGGAUCUCGGGCCGCCGGCGGCGGUACGGUCACAUGUCCGUCGACUGCCGUCGGCGCCUAACCGGCGGGACGCAGCGGGUGCCCUUAGCUGGGUCGCCCGCGGCACCCGCCCAGUUUACUUUGGAAAAAUUAGAGUGUUCAAAGCAGGCGCCAGUGCCUGAAUAACGUUGCAUGGAAUAAUGGAAUAGGACCACGGAUCCUAUUUUGUUGGUUUGUGGAGAACGUGGUAAUGAUUAACAGGGACUGCCGGGGGCAUUCGUACUGCGGCGCGAGAGGUGAAAUUCUAAGACCGUCGCAAGACGAACUACUGCGAAAGCAUUUGCCAAGAAUGUUUUCAUUAAUCAAGAACGAA
This 400-nucleotide ribosomal RNA is filed under the name phytoplankton environmental sample. Its description in RNAcentral is "partial small subunit ribosomal RNA". It matches the Rfam family "Eukaryotic small subunit ribosomal RNA", at positions 587 to 987 of the family's 1831-position model. The record is from RNAcentral.